This is a long non-coding RNA of Hemicordylus capensis (graceful crag lizard), 1072 nucleotides long. RefSeq lists it as uncharacterized. NCBI's taxonomy places the organism in Eukaryota, Metazoa, Chordata, Lepidosauria, Squamata, Cordylidae. The transcript is spliced from 4 exons. The record is from RefSeq and is a predicted model, not a curated record.
CGCACUGCCGACCGAGCAAGGAAGAGGUCAUAAUAAUGAUCGCAGCCUGAGACUGAAUCUCUGACUGAGACAUACGAACACACAGGCAACAUGGAGCGGCUGCAGCAGGACUCGGAGGACUCAGAGCCAGGCCUGAGCUUUAGAAACUCUUGAAAGGCAAGAAGAAGAGUUAGAAGACAGACAUGCAGGCACCUCAGAAUGAAAGGGGCAAGAGUAUGUGCAACUGUAACUUCUCACGUCUACUUAGAAGAAAAGAUAAAAGCACAGCUGCAUGGGCCACAGUUUUAGAGUACAGCGUGACUCAUCUGAUGGCAAAUUUACCAGGGGAAGAAAGAGGAGAAACAGAAGAAUAAUUUUCUUCCGGAAGAUCAGAAGUCUGGAUUAGCUGCUGUUCCUUCUGUGCUCACAGCAGAUAGCAAGUAUUUCCCUUUAUUUUAGAAAAAUUAACUCAUUUGAAGGAAGCUCACAAUUAUCACAGAAACGAGUACUUAGGAGAUACAGUCACAGCUACAGGAGAACAGUGCAGGUGGGAAAUAUCAGUAGCUGGAGAGAGAGAUGGUAGAAGACAGAAGGCUGGCAGUAGCCAAUGGGACUGAGGCAGCUGGAUCUGUUAUUAGCAGAAUUUUGAUGGGCUGUUUAACAGUGCAUACUAGAAAAUAUUUUGGCAAACCCUAUGAAAGCAUCCUCCUUUCCAACUAAUGAUUUCUUCAAACAUUAUUUCAUCAGUGCUCCUUCAGUUGUAAAGGAGACCACACAGGCAGCAGGUAAAGGGGAAAUGCCUUCAAGAGCACCUUCUUCUAUAUGUUCCCAGUCGCACAUUGAGGUCAUCUGGAGAGGUCCGUCUCCUAUUACCACCAGUACGUCUGGUUGCGAAUUGGAACCGGACCUUCUCUGUAGCUGCUCCUGGCCUGUGGUAUGCACUCCCAGCAGAUAUCCUCAGUUUAGGCUUGCUGUUGGCCUUUAAGUGAGCCCUUAAGACUUACUUGUUUGGCCUGGCUUUCCAUGGUUUUAAAAUUGUUUUUUUAGUAUUUUAAUUGGUUUUAAAUUGUAUUAAAAUUGUUUUUAUAUUGUU